GGUAAAGUGGCUGAGUGUUAGGCGGUGGAUUGUAGUCCCAAAUACAUAGGCUUAAACCCUAUUUUUACCA
This 70-nucleotide transfer RNA is filed under the name Siphonops hardyi. RNAcentral describes it as "tRNA-Tyr". It matches the Rfam family "tRNA". From Rfam's summary of the family: Transfer RNA (tRNA) molecules are approximately 80 nucleotides in length. Their secondary structure includes four short double-helical elements and three loops (D, anti-codon, and T loops). The record is from RNAcentral. Lineage: Eukaryota; Metazoa; Chordata; Amphibia; Gymnophiona; Siphonopidae.